Molecule: long non-coding RNA, 1268 nt
Organism: Bos taurus (domestic cattle)
Lineage: Eukaryota; Metazoa; Chordata; Mammalia; Artiodactyla; Bovidae
Source: Ensembl
GGACAAUCAGCGAACGAAACACCCCGCACGCCACGGGGAGGGAAAACAGUCACGCAAAUAGAGUAAGACGCUGGGUGAUUUCGUUAGAAACAGUGUUUCCAAAGCCCUUUAAUGUUACCCUAACCUGAGACACAAGGAGCGGGACACGACUGAGCGACUGAACUGAACAGAACCUGAGACAGAAAUUUUCCCUGUGACUACUGGCCAUGCUCUAUGAGACCAACUGAAUGCUUUAAAUGAUAGUUUUACAAAUUGUUUCCUAGUGGAUUCCCAUCUCAAGUAAUUACCAAUAAGCGAUAUUUUGAGUGCUCGUUUAGAGCAUUGUUAACAUCUUUACUUAUACGAUGUCUAGCAGCAUGCAAUUUCUCCCUUACACAAAAGAAGAGGGAUCUUUACAUGCCUAUUCCUAUAUAACAGAGCUAAAGUCUGAUUCUGUAAUGUUUUCCCCAUUUUCAAUUUAAGGGAGAUGGAGACACAUUUCUUCCUGUCUCUUGUUUACUGUUCUGAGGUUUUACAGAUGGCUACUGUAUUGGGUAUAAUAAUUUUGCCUGGAUUUUUAACUGAGGGAGUUUGAGAGCCAAGGAACAAAAUGUGAUGUGUUUUCAAACUUCAGCUUCGUUUAUACUGUAACUUUCACAAAGCAUCUCCUUAAAAGUCCUGUCCUUGUACAAAAUGCAUCAAAGAGACAGUGGAGGCUGGGAAAUUUUUGAGGUUGAAUUUGGAUUUGCAUCUUCAAGGGUCUCUUUGAGCCCGAAGUCUGAGGUGCCAGAGACUGCCCUGUCCUCCCUCCUCCUACCGGCUUCACUCUCCUGGGUCCUUUUGCCUCUCCCCCCGCCCCCAACUUGGGUGGUUUUUUUCGUUCUUUAUGAGGUUCCCACACAUUGUGGCAUGUAUCUUCGAAAAUACACGAGCGACCUAGUGUAACUGUGUGUGAGCAUCCUAUGGUGAGGAUGUAAUGAAAAAGAUCUUGCUUAAAAAGCGAUAAUUACGAUUCAGUCUUCGGUUUUUUCUUCCUCCUAUUUUUCUCGUUAAGUCUGGAGGUUUUAUUUUUGUUAGCAUGUGUUCCCUUGUCCUUUUACAUGUAUUUAGGAAAGCCACAACUCUUUCUUGUUCUUCUUGCUUCCGUUCUCUCAUUAGUUGAGCAAUGUGUUAUGUUUCCCCUUUCCCUUCUCUGUGUCCCCGAUUCCCGCCUCAUCCCCUCUGUCAGAGCAUCUAUCACUGUGGUGUCGAUCACAGCUGCGGCGGCUUCUCUUUCAUCUUCUUCCCAC